GGGCUGUGGUUGGUGCUGAUUGUGAUGCUGGUACUUGCUAUUACUUUGGAUCCAUUAAUUAACCAUUAUAGGGAGAGGUUGGCUUGUGUCAUCUGUUACAUGAGUAAAACUAUGAAUUUCAAACAUCACUUCCAGCAUCUGGGCUUUGUGCAGAUGUGUGACAUCUGAGCCAGAUCCUGGUAACUGAAGCAGUGCAAACUCAUGGAU
This is a long non-coding RNA of Lonchura striata (white-rumped munia), 207 nucleotides long. RefSeq lists it as uncharacterized. The record is from RefSeq and is a predicted model, not a curated record. Lineage: Eukaryota; Metazoa; Chordata; Aves; Passeriformes; Estrildidae.